CUUCGGGUUGUAAAGCUCUUUCGGCGGGGAAGAAAUUGCUUGGGCUAAUACCCUGAGUAGAUGACGGUACCCGAAUAAGAAGCACCGGCUAACUACGUGCCAGCAGCCGCGGUAAUACGUAGGGUGCGAGCGUUAAUCGGAAUUACUGGGCGUAAAGCGUGCGCAGGCGGUUUUGUAAGUCAGAUGUGAAAUCCCCGGGCUCAACCUGGGAACUGCAUUUGAGACUGCAAGACUGGAGUUUGGCAGAGGGA
RNAcentral lists this ribosomal RNA (251 nucleotides) under uncultured bacterium. Its description in RNAcentral is "partial 16S ribosomal RNA". It matches the Rfam family "Bacterial small subunit ribosomal RNA", at positions 416 to 659 of the family's 1533-position model. The record is from RNAcentral.